This 57-nucleotide microRNA precursor is filed under the name Limulus polyphemus (Atlantic horseshoe crab). RNAcentral's name for it is "Lpo-Mir-153-P11_pre stem-loop". The record is from RNAcentral. Lineage: Eukaryota; Metazoa; Arthropoda; Merostomata; Xiphosura; Limulidae.
UCAUUUUUGUGAUUGAUGUAAUUCAUAUCAUACAAUUGCAUAGUCACAAAAGUGAUG